RNAcentral lists this ribosomal RNA (510 nucleotides) under Triticum aestivum (bread wheat). RNAcentral's name for it is "partial small subunit ribosomal RNA". Lineage: Eukaryota; Viridiplantae; Streptophyta; Magnoliopsida; Poales; Poaceae. The record is from RNAcentral.
AUGCAUGAGUUAACUAAGGAAAACAUUGAGCGUAUGAAUGCUAAAUAUAAACUUGCUGGAGAUAAGGGUAGAAAACAUGUUGUGUUUGCACCUGGAGAUCUUGUUUGGUUACAUUUGCGUAAGGAUAGAUUUCCUGAUUUGCGCAAAUCCAAGUUAAUGCCACGUGCUGAUGGUCCCUUUAAGGUGUUAGAGAAAAUAAAUGAUAAUGCAUAUAAACUUGAGCUGCCUGCAGAUUUUGGGGUUAGUCCCACUUUUAACAUUGCAGAUUUGAAGCCUUAUUUGGGUGAGGAAGAUGAACUUCCGUCGAGGACGACUUCAUUUCAAGAAGGGGAGGAUGAUGAGGACAUCAAUACAAUUGUUACACCCACAGCCCCUGCUGCUAUACAUACUGGACCAAUUACUAGAGCUCGUGCACGCCAACUAAAUUACCAGGAAACAGACCCUCGUGGUCAGGUUGAUCGUGCUCCGGCGUGGUCAAUAACCUCUCGGAGUUGGUUUAGCGAUUGCUAA